This 1687-nucleotide ribosomal RNA is filed under the name Marginopora vertebralis. RNAcentral describes it as "SSU rRNA". It matches the Rfam family "Eukaryotic small subunit ribosomal RNA", at positions 76 to 1451 of the family's 1831-position model. Lineage: Eukaryota; Foraminifera; Miliolida; Soritidae. The record is from RNAcentral.
UACUAAUGCAACUGCGAAUAGCUGUUUAAUACAGUCGUAAUUGUAUUGACUUAGUAUAAUGUUAAUAAUAGUUAUUUAUAGGAUAACUAAGGGAAAGUUUGGCUAAUACGUUUUAACAGUAUUAUAAUUCUUAAUACACAUAUAAUAAUAUUAUAAUAUGAUAAAUAUUAUAUAAAUAUUUUAAUACAUUUAUUUGUAUUAAUAUAUAGAGUUGACUUUAUAAUAUUUAUUUAUUAUAAAGCAUGUCAAACAAGCAUCUAUAGCAUCAAGUCACAAUGUUGGCAUGUGUAUUAUUGAACCUUCAAAGCAUUUACGCAUUCGGAGGAGUAGUUUCUGAUCCCGUCGAAGGUGCCUGAGAGACGGCACUUAGUUCUAAGGAACGCAGCAGGCGCGUAAAUUGCCCAAUGACAAAACAUGUUAUAAUAAAAUAUAUAAUGUAUAUAUAUUGAAUACUCAAUAUUUAAUUGAGGCAGUGACAAGCUGUAAAGAUUGAAUAUAUUAAUUAAGAUAACAUUUGGAAUUGUCGUUUUAUAAUAUUUUUUAAUAUUAUAUUACUUGAUAAUAUACCAAUGUUAUAAAAUAUUCAAUUUGAAUGCGGUGAAUGUAAUAAUUUCAAGUAACAUGUAUAAAAUAUUUAUAUUUUAUUAGUUAUCUGAAUUUUCAAGUGGAGGGCAAGUCUGGUGCCAGCAGCCGCGGUAAUACCAGCUCCACUAGCUUAUACAAUCAUUGUUGCGGUUAAGAGGCUCGUAGUUGGAUUGAAUAAAACAUAUAUACACAAUACUGUGAACAAACCAGAGUGUAUAAAACAUGUAAUAUAUUAUAUAUUUAGCAAUGAAUGUUUUAUCAUGGAAUAUUGCUAUAAUGAAUAUUAAUAUCGAUGGAGAUAGUUGGAGUUAAGAGUACUGAUAGGCGAGCGGUGAAAUGCAUUGACCCUAUUAAGACUAACAAAAGCGAAAGCACUUAACUAGAUUAUUCUCUUUGUAUUAUUUUACAAUGAAGAGCGAAGGUUGGGGGAACAAAGAGGAUCAGAUACCCUCGUAGUCCUAUUUUUACAUCAAACUAUGGGAUUUCAUUCACACUAAACACUAAACAUUAUAAUUAUAAUUAUGAUUGAGUAUAUGUCAAAAUAUUACUCUCAUAUUAAAUAAUUAUUAUAUAUAUGAUUAUAUGUACUUUGAGCUCAUAUAAUUAUAUAGGUGAGAUGUAAGCAUUAUAAAGUGAAUAAUAUACAAGUAAUAUUGUAUUAUUAUGAUCUUUAAAAUAAAAAAUGUAAUGUGAUGCACGUUUUAGGUACGAGCUUACUAUAGAAAUAUUUAAAAUAAUACCCUCCUGGGGUAGUAUGCACGCAAGUGUGAAACUUGAAGGAAUUGACGGAAGGGCACCACAAGAACGCGUGGAGCAUGUGGCUUAAUUUGACUCAACCCGGGAAAUCUUACCAGGUCCAGACAUAUUGAGGAUUGACAGGCGAUAGUAUAUAAUUCAUUUAUAUGCAUAAAAAUGAUAGUCCUUUCAUGAUUAUAUGAUAGGUGGUGCAUGGCCGUUCUUAGUUCGUGGAGUGAUUUGUCUGCUUAAUUGCGUUUCAGUAAAUAAAAUAUAUAAUAUAUUAUAAUAUUUAGUUCUGCCUUGAAUAUUAUUCAAGGAUUUAAAGUGAACAUAUUAUAUAUAUUAUUAUAUAAUAAAUGAAUGC